GAAUCUGCUUAAGAUAUUACCCAGCAUGAGCCGGCCUGUGCACCAAAGUAGAUGGCCCAGUACUACGUUGGCCAAAAUCAUUCCCCAAAUUGUGCUGCACAUUACGACCAAAGAAUGGUCUAGCAUAUGAGCCACAAAAAUUAGACGGACCACCAAACUAUGCAUUAGUCGAUCCACCUGCAAGGCCAAAUCCAUACCCAGCAUCACUAGGGCACGAAUAGUCAAAAUUAGGAGCCCUAGCUUGCGGCCGAUAAUUGCCACCAUUUUGCAAACCUCCUAACGAAUUAUUUCUAGACCCAAAACCCCCGAACAAACUAGAACGGCCAGCAAACUCAUCCCCUCGUAACCCUUGGCUAUCAUGCAAAGAAGAAAACUGCACCGUGGUAGAGCCGUUCAGGCGGCCAUAAUUACGGUUGAAACAAUAGAAGUAGCAUUGUACCAAAUGACUAAAGCGGCUGCAUAUUUGGCACUGUGUUCGUGGUCGAAACCCUCACCCACGCGAACCUGCUACCACGCGCAUCUCGCAAAUCGGAGGCAACCAUCGUAGCGAUUAAUGUUUCGAUUAGAUGAGCAUGCAUUGAAACCUCACGCGCCGCUCACAUUUUUCUACUCUCAAAUUCCAGAAGAACAACAAGGUGUUGGAAGGGAAAGGUCUCCAUCGAGAAUGAAGCCAACGUUAAAAUCGCAUCAAAGUCUGACGAGAGACCAGUCAAAAUAACUUCCACUUUUUUGGUCUCUGACACCUCCAAUCCAGACGUUGCAAAGUGAAGAUCAUGUUUAAUAUAGGAGAUUUUUGCACCAAUAGAAGCAACGAAAAGAUGAUUCGCUGUACUCCAUAUCUCACAUACAGACUUAGAAGAGGUAAAGUAUGAAAAAAGAAAACUUAUUGUAGAUAGAAGCCAUGAAGCUAACAACUUAUCUUGUUGAUUAAAUGCAUAUGCCUCUGGAUUUGGAGUGAGCCCAACUUCGGGAGAAGUAACGAACUGAGGCAGAGUAGAAAGCGUGCCCUCCAAGAAUCCUUGUAGCACAUACCCCUCUAUGAUCAGCCGAAUAUGGUGCUGCCACUGGACAAAAUUGCCUUCCUCAAGUUUCACUGUGUCAUAGCGCGGAAAUGAAUGGAUUAGAUGUGUGCUGGAGAAGGUCUAACUCACAGGAUCAGCAGAGAUAGAAUCGACUGAUGGUGCCAUGUUGCGAAAGAGAAAUCAGGUACUAGGACUAGGCAACUGAUACCAUGUUAGUAGCUCUAUAAAAUUGAAAACAAACUAAAAGAAAAUUGAAAGAAUAAAAGAGAGUUGAUUGAAA
Long non-coding RNA from Gossypium arboreum, 1302 nucleotides. RefSeq lists it as uncharacterized. Lineage: Eukaryota; Viridiplantae; Streptophyta; Magnoliopsida; Malvales; Malvaceae. The transcript has 2 exons. The record is from RefSeq and is a predicted model, not a curated record.